UACAGAGGUCUCGAGCGUUAGGCGGAAUCACUGGGCUUAAAGCGUGUGUAGGCGGAUCGGUAAGUACCUUGUGAAAUCCCACAGCUUAACUGUGGAACUGCUUGGUAUACUGCCAGUCUUGAGCCAGCUAGGGGCGACCGGAACAGACGGUGGAGCGGUGAAAUGCGUAGAUAUCGUCUGGAACGCCAAUGGUGAAAACAGGUCGCUGGGGCUGUGCUGACGCUGAGACACGAAAGCCAGGGGAGCAAACGGG
Molecule: ribosomal RNA, 253 nt
Filed under: uncultured bacterium
Lineage: Bacteria
Description: partial 16S ribosomal RNA
Rfam family: Bacterial small subunit ribosomal RNA
Source: RNAcentral